CCUACGGGUGGCUGCAGUGAGGAAUAUUGGUCACUGGACGAGAGUCUGAACCAGCCAAGUAGCGUGAAGGAUGACUGCCCUAUGGGUUGUAAACUUCUUUUAUAUGGGAAUAAAACAGGGUAUGCAUACCCUCUUGUAUGUACCAUAUGAAUAAGUAUCGGCUAACUCCGUGCCAGCAGCCGCGGUAAUACGGAGGAUCCGAGCGUUAUCCGGAUUUAUUGGGUUUAAAGGGAGCGUAGGUGGAUUGUUAAGUCAGUUGUGAAAGUUUGCGGCUCAACCGUAAAAUUGCAGUUGAAACUGGCGUUCUUGAGUGGGCGAGAAGUAUGCGGAAUGCGUGGUGUAGCGGUGAAAUGCUUAGAUAUCACGAAGAACUCCGAUUGCGAAGGCAGCCUACUAAACUGCCACUGACAUUGAUGCUCGAAAGUGUGGGUAUCAAACAGGAUUAGAUACCCCUGUAGUC
This 460-nucleotide ribosomal RNA is filed under the name uncultured bacterium. Its description in RNAcentral is "partial 16S ribosomal RNA". It matches the Rfam family "Bacterial small subunit ribosomal RNA", at positions 338 to 795 of the family's 1533-position model. The record is from RNAcentral.